UCCAGUGAACUGAAGCCUGCUGUCACGUGUCUGUUUUCACACAACGGAAAGUAGACCAAGUGUCUAAUAACUGGUGUCGCCGGACAUACGCGAGCCACCGGUUACACGUGGUGUCGUGACCCUUUGGAUUUCACCGAUCGCCGGAGUUGCUGCAUCUACAGUCGACGGGUUUGCUGUAACUAAUCGCUGGAGGAGAGUUUCGCUGAUUGUUUCAUCUCUUCACGUCAUUAACUCGUUACCUGUAUUUGCUGCUCAUAUCAUAUAGGACUGUAUUCAUCGAACGCUUGACUUUUGUGAGGUGACCAAAGUGAUUCAUUCUCGCUGCACGAAUGGGAAGACAUGAUGUACAGUUAUUUGAACGUUUAAGCCUGCUGAACAGCGGAGUGCUACCGAGGUUCAAGAGCGACUGGAUUGUCACCAUAGGAACCUGAAAAGAACUUCUAAUAGAACCCAACGUUACUCACCUGUGUCCACCGGCAUAAGUGCACAUAUGACCUGGAAAUCGAAGUCUAUGGGUUCAGUUUCAUCGUCCCUACUGUAGUAGUGCCUGGACAGAAAAAAAAAAUAAUAAUCGGCAGUAACGCAUCAAGUGCGUGCUUCAGAGGAUGAAACUCAAAAAAAAGUACUGGGAAGUUAUUUCGUGCCAAAACACAUCCCUGAAUGCGAAGAGCUUCUUGAACUUCUGAGCUGCAUUUCUCAUUGGUCUGGUCCUCACCAGCGUGCUAAACUUGGGACAGUGAAAGUUUGUCAAGCUGUUACUUUGCAUCUUUAUGCCCAUGAUGCUCAGCAUAUUUGGAGAUCUGAACUUUUCCAGCCCCCUUUGGUAUCUAAACGAUUUGCUUUGUUUUCGCCCAUACCGAACAAGAAGCAUUGACACGCCUGGAAGUGGUGUUUGCACGGUUGAAAGCUAGUAAUCUGAAGUUGGCUUCAAAAAAGUGUCACUUAGGCGUUUUAUCAGAUUUUUGAUGUCGCUUUUGAGGAGUUGAAAACGGGUCUUGUUGAGAGUGUAGUGUUAGCCCAACCUGAUUUUGAGCGUCCUUUUAUUCUCUGCACCGACCCGUCGUUAGACGGCCUUGACGCAGUGCUUUCUCAAGUUCCCAUGGUGAAAAUAAAGCACAUCCUAUAGCAUUCGCCAGGAAGUCUUUGAGCCACAGCCAAGCCAAUUACCCUGCACACACACUAGAGUUCUUGGCCCUGAAAUGGUCUGUAUGUGACAAGUUUUGCCACUGGCUGAAAGGCCAUGAGCUAACUGUAUGGAUUGAUAAUAAUCUGCUCACAUUCAUCAUGAUAAAACCAAAAUUAGACUCGUAUGAACAGCGCUGGGUUUCAAAACUCGCCCCGUACAACAUUUAGAUCCAGUACAUCCCUGGCAGAUUGAGUGUUGUAGCGGAUGGACUGAGUCGUGACCCGUUCGUCAAGCUAGUGAGUCAACAACUUCUGUCAGAGUUUUAUUCUAACUGCUGAAGCAUGUACGUAGUGUUGAUGACGGCUCUGUUCAGAGGACAUUCCGUCUGACGUGCCUCCCCCAGACGCUUGAACGAAAUUUAAUGAAAACUCUGAGAAGGAUGUUUCCAUGCCUGGAAGAUUGGGAUAAAGGAGCUGUUUCCAGAGCUACAUCCCUGGCUGAUCACAUGAGUUCUUUGAUUCCUGCCUUUCAAGAUGGCUUCCGUGCUUUCUUAUUGUCGGAAUUACAUUGUCGGCAGCAGAAUGAUGCAGUUAUUUCAGGGGUGUCUUUCUUUGUCAGCAGGAAGCGCAGACCUUCCAGGCGCGAACGUGCAAUUGAGGAUUUGCGUGUUUUGAGGAUCUUGAAGAAGUGGGAUAAACUCUCUUUGCUAAAUGGCAUUCUGUAUAGAACUAUCAAAGAUCCACUAACAAAGCAUAAGAAGUUUCUGUUCGUCCUGCCUGAUUCCCUGCCAGCUCUUUCCGGUGUUCAUGAUUUGGCCGCUCACCAAGGUCAGCCACGUACCCUGUCUUUAGCCCGCCAGAGGUCCUUUUGGCCUGGGAUGGAACCUGAUGUCCAUAAUUAAGUCAGAAAUUGUACCCGUUGUGUCCUGAGUAAAACUCCAGAGCCAGCAGCAAGAGCACACUUGGAGAGUAUCAAGACCACUGCCCCAUUGGAGCUCCUCUGUAUUGAUUUCUGGUCCGCUGAGGACAGAAACAAUAAAUCUGUGGAUGUCUUGGUAAUCACAGAUCAUUUCACAAGGCUAGCUCACGCUUUUCCGUGUCAAAACCAUCCGAGUUAAUCAAAGUGUAAUGGGCACUUUGUAUGCUUACAUGUGUAGAGGUUUGGCAAACUUCUUUCAUAUUUGUGUCCCUUGAUUGGGUAGCUAAUUGUGUUGAUGGUCUUAACUGUUUUUUUUUCUGGUGUAGACCAAGUGAUUCUCAUGACCUGUUUUUUUGUUUUUACUCUGGAAAUUUUGUGUAAAUUCUGGGGGGUGCAUGUAACAGGUAUACAAAGUGUCCUACUAAAUAUUGCAAUAAUUCACCGGUAACACCGCCACGUUGACUUAUUUCAUCUUCCACAAGUGACAUCAGGCUUGUUUGCGCUAUAUUUGAAAACAAGAGUAUUCACUUAAUAAACAGACAUCGUUCUUCAUUUAAAUGUAUUUUAUACAUAGCUGGACAGAAUUGACAUUAAACAGAUAUAGCAAAAAAGUUUAUACCUGUGACGUACACCUCAGAUUCUUCAUCAAUGCUCUUGGACUAGAGCUCAGGAGAUGCUUUUAGCUUACACUUCUCGCAUGAGCAUUCGAGGAUAACCGGCUCACAAAAGACGUCUUUGACAACUUUUGCCUCCUUUUCCAUUUUCCCUUUUUACGAGGAACAAUCUGAUCAAAAAGAACUGGAGAGAAAAGACAAAACAAAGUCUUGUACAGCUGUCAAUACAUUCAUAUAUAUAUAUAUAUAUAUAUAUAUAUAUAUAUAUAUAUAUAUACACGUGUUAUACAAUGAGAGAAAUGACACUCUAGAAAAACUUUUUUUUUUCAUUAGCACUUUGGUUAAUAUCAAUGUUAACGUUUCGGCCAUUGUCUUGUGUGGCAUUGUCUUCCACAAGUGAAAUCAGGCUUGUUUGUGCUAUACAUGAAAACAAAUUCAUCAACUUAUUAAACGGACAUCGUUCGUUGAUUAAAUGUAUUAUACAUUGAUGAAUUAAAGUGUACACAUAGCAGAAUUGACAUUAGCCACAAAGAACUUUAGAGAAACAAGUUUUUUACCUGUGACAAACACUUCAGAUUCACUAGAAACGCUCAAGAUGUCGAGCACAUGAGAUCCUCUCGGUUCACACUCCUCGCAAUGGCAGUCGAGAAUAACAGGCAAACAAAAUAAUUCAUAAAACACUUUUCCUAAUCGAGAUUGUUGAGUUUUCGCCAUUUCCUCUGUAUAUAUGUUGGUCGCUGUUAAAUGUUAAAUCGGUUGUGCUGUGAAGAGAAAUGACAAUUCUGUCUCUGCGGGUGAGUUUUAAAGACUUUCUGUGUGACGUAAUAAAGGAGAACGCGUCAUCUCUAGUAACUUAUGUAAGAUCAACGAUAACGCUCCAGUAAAACCACAAUAUUCACAAGUUAUGUGUUUUACUUAUUAACUGCGGCACUAGAUGUUAUCGAUCAUUUAUUUGCAGCUUACACUGAGAUCAACACACCCAGAAAGUUCUAUCAAAAAUUUAACUUUACAUCUGCAGAGUGAAAAAAGUACAAAAGUGUCUUAAACAGACUCAAGAGCAAACAUUUCACCUCAUGCUUUUGUCAAUCCUGUGAGAAUAAUCAACAAACACACUCUUUGGCAGACACAGCUACAGGGGUAAUUGCUAAAGCCAGACUUUUGUUUUUAAAAUGGAGUACAAAGUGGAGUGCUUAUAACUUUGCAGACAGUGCCUGUUAUGAUACAAAGCAAGUUUUAUUACACAAAAGUGUGGCACAGAUACAGCUAAAUGACCGUUAAGUUAUUUAUUGGAUAUUUAAUUACAAUAAUUGAGUUACAUUCAUCCUCACCCUCAGCAACCCCCCCUGUUAUCUUGACAUUUACUGGUUUAUAGAACCUGAAAUCAUAGGAAGCAGAACAUCACUGUCAACAACAACACAGUGUAUACAAUCCAAUAAAAGCUCAGAAUGACUUUAAAGUGAUACUUCACCCAAAAAUGAAAAUUUGGUCAUGAUUUGACCUGAUAAACACAGAGAAAGAUAAUUGGAAGAAUGCUUAUAACCAAACAGAUCUCAACCCCCAUUGACUCCCAUAGUAGGAAAAAUAACGUUAUAAUUUUUUUUCUGUUGAACACGAAAGAUGACAUUUUGAAGAAUGCAAUCUCCAUUUGGUGUCAAUACGUCACUGCAAUUGAGUAUAAAACAAAGAUUUUAUACACAUGCGAUACAACUUUUCAUUAUCGAAUAAGCCAAACCUUAUCGGCAAUUGAUCUAACCGUAUACCACUGACCAUUUACAGAGUCGAUUAGAUCUUUUACAGCUACUAUUCCUGUAUUUAAAAACCUAUCGAUUACUGAACUUGAAAAUAUAAAACUGGCUUUAAAAAGAGAUUACAGAACAAUGGUUCUAAAACACCAUAAUGUUCAUCCUCUUGUCUAGAUUUUUUUUAAACAAUUGCCAAGUUUUUAAGACAGUCACAUAAAAAUUAAAAAAAUAAACUCUCACAGUGCAUUACUGAUACGUACACAUACACACAUACAGUGUUAUUGUGAAUGUGUUUUGUUAAUAUUGUUUGCUUUAUGGAAAUAACCACAGACAUGUUUUCAUCAAAUAUCAUUUAUUGCAAAUACAAUAACAUAGAUUUUAUACACUUGCCAGUUUUGUUAGGCAGAGCCAAACCUGUUUAAUGUUCAACCUGGACGUUUGUGGAAUGAUAAGAUGUAAUUAUGGAAUGUAUGUUUUAUUUUUGUAAUAUGCAUGUUUGUUUCAUUUGUGGUUGACAACUAUGUGUAUUAUUACUCAUGGGUUUUACCUCCAACAUGGUAUGAUCCGGAGGUGGAGCCUAGGAUAUAAAAAGGCUCCCAAAUCACCAUGAGGGGAGGUUAGAACCCGCUCAAAAUAAAGAGUAAAAUCGGUUGGAUUAGAAUGUUGAAUUAAGAUUGGAUAUGUGCAAACAGAUGCUGUUCAGAACUUUGUGUUUUAGCUGAAUGGGCCAGUAUAUUGGACAUUUUAUUUAUUUUGUUAGUUUGAUAAUUUGCUGUUGAUGCAUUUUGGCUGACUUUUUCAUAUUUGAGAAGAGAAAACAAUAAAACUCUUCAUCAUA
Long non-coding RNA from Triplophysa dalaica, 5238 nucleotides. RefSeq lists it as uncharacterized. The record is from RefSeq and is a predicted model, not a curated record. The transcript is spliced from 3 exons. NCBI's taxonomy places the organism in Eukaryota, Metazoa, Chordata, Actinopteri, Cypriniformes, Nemacheilidae.